This 377-nucleotide ribosomal RNA is filed under the name uncultured Deferribacteraceae bacterium. RNAcentral's name for it is "bacterial SSU rRNA". It matches the Rfam family "Bacterial small subunit ribosomal RNA", at positions 521 to 896 of the family's 1533-position model. The record is from RNAcentral. Lineage: Bacteria; Pseudomonadati; Deferribacterota; Deferribacteres; Deferribacterales; Deferribacteraceae.
UAAUACGAGGGGGGCUAGCGUUGUCCGGAUUUAUUGGGCGUAAAGAGUUCGUAGGCUGGUCAGUCAGUCGAAAUUGAAAUCCCACGGCUUAACCGUGGACCCGGUUUCGAUACUGCUGAUCUUGAGUGAGACAGAGGUAAGCGGAAUUCCUGGUGUAGCGGUGAAAUGCGUAGAUAUCAGGAGGAACACCGAAGGCGAAGGCAGCUUACUGGGUCUAUACUGACGCUGAGGAACGAAAGCGUGGGGAGCAAACAGGAUUAGAGACCCUGGUAGUCCACGCUGUAAACGAUGAGUACUUGGUGGUGGGGGAUUCGACCCCUUCACUGUCGGAGCUAACGCGUUAAGUACUCCGCCUGGGGACUACGACCGCAAGGUUG